This 917-nucleotide ribosomal RNA is filed under the name Aphelenchus avenae. RNAcentral's name for it is "SSU rRNA". It matches the Rfam family "Eukaryotic small subunit ribosomal RNA", at positions 39 to 966 of the family's 1831-position model. Lineage: Eukaryota; Metazoa; Nematoda; Chromadorea; Rhabditida; Aphelenchidae. The record is from RNAcentral.
AAAGAUUAAGCCAUGCAUGUCUCAGUAUCCCUUUAAAAACAGGGAAACCGCGAACGGCUCAUUACAACAGGCACCAUUUACUUGAUCUUGAAAGAAUCCUACUUGGAUAACUGUGGUAAUUCUAGAGCUAAUACAUGCCCUAAAGCUCUGACCUCGCGGGAAGAGUGCAUUUAUUAGAUCAAAACCAAGCGGCUUCGGCCGUCUACCACUGACUUAAAGUAACUAAGCUGAUCGUAUGGUCUUGUACCGACGACGUAUCUUUCAAGUAUCUGCCUUAUCAACUUUCGAUGGUAGUGUAGUGGACUACCAUGGUUGUGACGGGUAACGGAGGAUAAGGGUUCGACUCCGGAGAGGGAGCUUGAGACACGGCUACCAUGUCUAAGGACAGCAGCAGGCGCGCAAAUUACCCACUCUCAGAACGAGGAGGUAGUGACGAAAAAUAACGAGACCGUUCUCUAUGAGGCCGGUCAUCGGAAUGGGUACAAUCUAAACCCUUUAACGAGUAUCUAUGAGAGGGCAAGUCUGGUGCCAGCAGCCGCGGUAAUUCCAGCUCUCAAAAUGCAUAGAAUUAUUGCUGCGGUUAAAAAGCUCGUAGUUGGAUCUGUGCUGGGAACUGGGUCCGCCUUCGGGUGUGCACUCAGCUUCCCGGCUUUUUGCUGGUUUUCCCGUUGUGGCCUUUACCGGUUGCAGCGGGUGGCUGGCGAGUUUACCUUGAAGAAAUCAAAGUGCUUAAUACAGGCGAUUUGCUUGAAUGUGGUGCAUGGAAUAAUAGAAAAGGAUUUCGGUUCUCUUUUAUUGGUUUACGAGCUGAGAUAAUGGUUAACAGAGACUAACGGGGGCAUUCGUAUCGUUGCGUGAGAGGUGAAAUUCUUGGACCGCAGCGAGACCAACUACAGCGAAAGCAUUUGCCAAGAAUG